This 1373-nucleotide ribosomal RNA is filed under the name uncultured bacterium. RNAcentral describes it as "bacterial SSU rRNA". It matches the Rfam family "Bacterial small subunit ribosomal RNA", at positions 28 to 1382 of the family's 1533-position model. The record is from RNAcentral.
GAUGAACGCUGGCGGCGUGCCUAAUACAUGCAAGUCGAGCGAACGGACGAGAAGCUUGCUUCUCUGAUGUUAGCGGCGGACGGGUGAGUAACACGUGGAUAACCUACCUAUAAGACUGGGAUAACUUCGGGAAACCGGAGCUAAUACCGGAUAAUAUUUUGAACCGCAUGGUUCAAAAGUGAAAGACGGUCUUGCUGUCACUUAUAGAUGGAUCCGCGCUGCAUUAGCUAGUUGGUAAGGUAACGGCUUACCAAGGCAACGAUGCAUAGCCGACCUGAGAGGGUGAUCGGCCACACUGGAACUGAGACACGGUCCAGACUCCUACGGGAGGCAGCAGUAGGGAAUCUUCCGCAAUGGGCGAAAGCCUGACGGAGCAACGCCGCGUGAGUGAUGAAGGUCUUCGGAUCGUAAAACUCUGUUAUUAGGGAAGAACAUAUGUGUAAGUAACUGUGCACAUCUUGACGGUACCUAAUCAGAAAGCCACGGCUAACUACGUGCCAGCAGCCGCGGUAAUACGUAGGUGGCAAGCGUUAUCCGGAAUUAUUGGGCGUAAAGCGCGCGUAGGCGGUUUUUUAAGUCUGAUGUGAAAGCCCACGGCUCAACCGUGGAGGGUCAUUGGAAACUGGAAAACUUGAGUGCAGAAGAGGAAAGUGGAAUUCCAUGUGUAGCGGUGAAAUGCGCAGAGAUAUGGAGGAACACCAGUGGCGAAGGCGACUUUCUGGUCUGUAACUGACGCUGAUGUGCGAAAGCGUGGGGAUCAAACAGGAUUAGAUACCCUGGUAGUCCACGCCGUAAACGAUGAGUGCUAAGUGUUAGGGGGUUUCCGCCCCUUAGUGCUGCAGCUAACGCAUUAAGCACUCCGCCUGGGGAGUACGACCGCAAGGUUGAAACUCAAAGGAAUUGACGGGGACCCGCACAAGCGGUGGAGCAUGUGGUUUAAUUCGAAGCAACGCGAAGAACCUUACCAAAUCUUGACAUCCUUUGACAACUCUAGAGAUAGAGCCUUCCCCUUCGGGGGACAAAGUGACAGGUGGUGCAUGGUUGUCGUCAGCUCGUGUCGUGAGAUGUUGGGUUAAGUCCCGCAACGAGCGCAACCCUUAAGCUUAGUUGCCAUCAUUAAGUUGGGCACUCUAAGUUGACUGCCGGUGACAAACCGGAGGAAGGUGGGGAUGACGUCAAAUCAUCAUGCCCCUUAUGAUUUGGGCUACACACGUGCUACAAUGGACAAUACAAAGGGCAGCGAAACCGCGAGGUCAAGCAAAUCCCAUAAAGUUGUUCUCAGUUCGGAUUGUAGUCUGCAACUCGACUACAUGAAGCUGGAAUCGCUAGUAAUCGUAGAUCAGCAUGCUACGGUGAAUACGUUCCCCGGUUCU